GGAUUGCGAGACGGCCUUCGGCUUUGCUGAGGAAAGUCCACUCACCAAAAAAGGUCACUGGGGAAAUCCAGGCUGCGAAAGUAGCGGCAAUGUCUCAAGAAACGAUACCACCUUACAAGAGAAUGAAGGAUGCAAGCUUCAGGCGACUGAGGUGAUAAGGUCCAGACGUUUUGUAAGGAGCGGGUGAAACGGGGAAUCCUGACCGGUGCAAGUCAUUUAGACGCUAAGUUAAAUGCCGUCACUGCCAUCGAACCCCUCUCAACAGGGUUUUUGGGUAGAACAGAAAGUGGCUUAUCGCAAUCC
This 303-nucleotide RNase P RNA is filed under the name Candidatus Woesearchaeota archaeon. Its description in RNAcentral is "RNase P RNA component". It matches the Rfam family "Archaeal RNase P". Rfam says of the family: Ribonuclease P (RNase P) is a ubiquitous endoribonuclease, found in archaea, bacteria and eukarya as well as chloroplasts and mitochondria. Lineage: Archaea; Nanobdellati; Candidatus Woesearchaeota. The record is from RNAcentral.